Molecule: long non-coding RNA, 962 nt
Organism: Marmota monax (woodchuck)
Lineage: Eukaryota; Metazoa; Chordata; Mammalia; Rodentia; Sciuridae
Exons: 2
Source: RefSeq, a predicted model, not a curated record
ACCUCCAGCAUUUCUAAGCCCUGGUCCAGGGGGUAACACCCACUUCUGGCACUCCAGCCUUGCUUCUUUACCAUUUCUGCUGCCAGGAGGCUGUUGGUCACAUCAACCGACCCUGAGUCCACUGACCUCCAACCUGCUCUCUUUCAUUAGCUCAUGGGACUGGGCUGGGAAGCUUGGGAAUGCAGGUCUGUGUGGGGAGGCUACAUGUUCAUCAGUGCACUGAUAGGCCAGGUCCAGAGUACAUCCUCAAGGCACACAAGCUGAGGAAUCCCAGCACUCAGGUGGGACUGCCAAUUCCGGUUUUCGCUGCCCGCAGAUGACUCGGAAGUGACGUCAUCCCGAAGUCGCGGCCCGGAGCCUUCACAAGGGAAAUACCUGCUGUGUAAUGCCAGUAGUGACGCGAAGAAUAAGGGCCAGCUACUGUAGACCUGCCCUCAACUAUACUCGGGACUGCCUCGGAAGGUCAUGUGUGCUCCAGCCGCAAGGACUUACCAUUCCACAGCUACGGGCCCAGCUUCCAGCGCUGGAGACCGGAAGUACUCGCGGGUGGGCGGAACGGAGUCCGGAAGUGGGAAUGAGGGACGCGUAUUUGGUAAGGUUGUGACUCUGCUCGGACCGGAUGCCCUGAAAAGAUGCUUACGGGACACCAAGUCUUCGUCUUUGCCUUGAGUUCUCAAUGGAUUUCAGUUAUACGUCCCCAUUUUUUUACCUUGUAGGAUGUAAUCAGUGAUUAAAUAUAUUCUAAACUCUUGUUAGGAGCCAGGUAUCGAGCUGGGCAAAUGGACAGAAUCGCUACUUUCCCCCAACCCACCCCUUGGAGCCCCGCCCCGCCGAUGGCUAUGAUCCCACAACUCGUUGGCGUUUCCCCUGUGUAAAAUGACUACUCUGCUUUCAAGGAAAUAAGAAGAAGAAAAAAAAAACAGUUUAUCCUGAGUCAAAUAUGAAUGACCAUGGCCUGGGAA